This 28027-nucleotide long non-coding RNA is filed under the name Gossypium raimondii (Peruvian cotton). RNAcentral's name for it is "long non-coding RNA (GRAI_LNC007873)". The stretch from base 18425 to 18569 matches the Rfam family "MIR7502 microRNA precursor family". The record is from RNAcentral. Lineage: Eukaryota; Viridiplantae; Streptophyta; Magnoliopsida; Malvales; Malvaceae.
UAUUGAAACUAAAUUGAAAUCCAUUAAAGAAGACAUAAACAACACCACCAUACAAAAUGUCACAUUCAAACAAACCAUUACAGAUAGUACGAAAUGCAAUGAAAGACAGAGGAAUUGGUACAAUAAUAAAGACAGACACAUACUAAUGCAACCCUUCACCAUAGGCAAAACGGUCUACAAACAAGAAAUUAUGAAAAUACAGCACUAAUUCUUGAACAUCAUUUGCAGUAAUUAGAUCCUUCUUCAUCUACUGCUGCGAUUGCCUUCCUUUGACUUUCUUCUUCGCCUCCUCUCAUGUUGGUUUUCAACCAAAUUCACCAACCAUUUCGGCUUUCCAGUUUGGAAAACAACAUAUCCCACGAACAUUCCGAACACUACUCCGCAUCCAUAACCUAUCAACACCACUUUCCAACCAAAAGCAAUGUUUGAUUUAGAGCCAUCUUUUUCAAGCACAUUUGGAGGUGGUGGGUUAAUGUUGUUGCAACCUUUCGAGACUGGAAACCCACACAGUCCCUUAUUUCCUUCAUAUGAAUCAUUUCCAAAUGUGUUGAAUUGUUUGCCUUGAGGAAUCUGACCAUGGAGUUGAUUUUCAGAAACAUUUAAGGAGGAAAGAAAUGGCAGAUCUGCCAAUCUAUUUGGAAUCGUCCCAGACAACCUGUUUGAACAUAGGUCCAACCAUUCAAGACUUGUCAAAUCCCCUAUUGAGGUGGGGAUAUUACCAUUAAGGUUAUUAUGAGAAAUGUUGAGCCCUUUCAGUAAGUUAAGCUUCCCAAUAACCUUUGGAAUUCCCCCUUCAAACUGAUUGUUUGAUAGAUCAAUGAUCAUCCACAUGGUGAAAAUUUUCACCAAUUCCCUAUCUUGUCCUUUCAUAACAAUUCCAAUGGAAUAGGUAUAGAAGUCACCUCCAUCAUCAUUCACCCCCAUGUACGACACUGUACUACCAAUCUUCUCUAGAUUUAUGAUAGCCUUGAAGCUGUUGAUGUAUCUCACUGGUAGGGGUCCAGAAAAAUAAUUACUUGAGAGAUCAAAAAUUUGGAUUUUUGAGAAAAAAGGGAUAGACUUGGAGCUAUUGACACAUAAGGAACCAUUCAAUUGAUUUGACUUCAAAACAAGAACUUGUAGCUGUGGAAGACUUCCCAACCAAUGAGGAAAUGUAUCAUUGAUCUUGUUGUUACCCAGAUCUAGCACUUCCAGACCAUUACAAUUAAGGACGGAUGGUGUCAAAGGCCCUUCUAACAGAUUUCCAUUUAAGUUGAAAUUACUCAAUUGGCAUCCCAUUGCAAAUGUUGGAGGAAUCGUCCCAUAGAACUUGUUCUUCUUCAGAUUCAAGAAUAGAAGGCUGUUGCUCAAAUUUCCAAAACAUUGUGGAAUUGUUCCACUCAAGUUAUUGUGGGACAAAUCAAGAAUUUCAAGAAAAGCGGCAUUGCAUAUUAAAGAAGAGACCUCUCCAUUGAAGCUAUUAUUAGAGAUCAAAAAGACAUUGAUGGUCGAAGCUGGAAUCGGAAGAUUUCCACUGAUCAAAUUGGAGCUUAAGUCAAGAACUUCAAUAUUCUUCCAUGGAAAGUGCUCAACUUCUGUCAAAGAGUUGUGAGAUACGUUUAAGUAAGUCAAAGAGUCAUUCCCCACCUCUUGCAUCCACCGUGGAAUCUUGCCUUCAAUUCUGUUGUAAGAGAGGUCCAAGCUUUUCAAACUUUUAAGCCCUUUUAAAAAUUGGGGGAAUUCACUAAGAUUGCAAGAUGACAAAAAUAAGCUUGUAAGAUUAACAGAAGAAGUAGUAUUAGAUGUUAAGGAUAGGCUGUUAUAUGAAAGGUCAAGAUAUUCGAGAUUUGGAAGGUUUGAGAACAUGCUAAACGCUAUGACACCAGUAAGAUUAUUUGAGGAUAAAUUGAGCUUGGUAAGAUUGAGAAAUUGGAAUAUUGAAGAUGGAAGAGGACCUUGGAGUUUAUUAUUCUCUAACUCUAUCAAUUCUAGUGAUUUGGAUUGGAAGUCCUUGAUAUGCCCACUGAAUUGAUUUUGAGAGAGUUUCAUAUCCUUUAAGGAGGGAGAAGUAUACAACCAUGAUGGAAGUGCUCCACUGAGUAAAUUGUUAGUUAAGUCUAAAGAUAUUAGAUUAGGAAAAGCGGUUACCUCAUCUGGAAUAGAACCUUUUAAUGCAUUUCCAGCUAUUCUCAAGUAUUCCAGCUGCGUUAGGUUUAGAAUUGACAAUGGAAUUUGUCCAUUCAAUUGGUUCUGCCACAAGCCUAAAUAAGUGAGUUGCAAGAGGUUCCCCAAUGAUCUUGGAAUUUGUCCACUCAAUUGGUUUUGCCACAAGCCUAAAUAAGUGAGUUGCAAGAGGUUCCCCAAUGAUCUUGGAAUUUGUCCACUCAACUGGUUCCCGGAUAAGUCUAAAUGAGUGAGUUGCAAGAGAUUCCCCAGUGAUUUUGGAACCGGUCCUGAUAAGUUGGAAUAGGAGAGAUCUAAAAACUUCAAGGACACAAGAUUACCCACCGAGUCUGGCAAUCCUCCAAAAAAAUUUGCGCCUGAAAUUAUCAAUUGCUCCAAACAUGAUAAAUUUGUGAUUGAGACAGACAAUCCUUGAAAGAAAGAAUUUCCUGAUUGAUCUAAGUACUUUAAGGCCUGUAGAUUAUCAACUCAAUCAAUGAAUUCUGUAGAGAAGGACGUCCAUGACAGAUCCAAAUGUUCAAGAUUGCUGCUCCGAUUCAACUUCAAAGGAUCAAGAUUGAGGUUUUGGUUGUCUCCCAAGUUGAGGAGAUUGAGGUUUGGCAAAUCAAAAAUGUUUUUUGGGAAUUUUCCUUGCAAAUCACAACCAGCAAGACUGAGAGACCUUAGAGAAGAGGAUAGAUUCAUGAAGACAUGAGCAUUAACAGAAGCCAUCUCCAUUCCAUCCAAAAACAGAUGUCUGACCUCGGUUAGGUUUUGAACAAGUCCCUCCAGAGCAUGUUUGUCUCCUACAAACCCUGUACUGGAAAGGUCGAGGUAGAGUAGGCUUGUAAACCGACCUAACUCGGAUGGAAUUUCGGAAAGAUUAAACUCAUUGUAGGCAAGGUUGAGUUUUUGAAGUUGAGGAAGAAGGAAGAGAGUGGAAUUGGAAGGGAAGUUGCCAUAUAGCCAACUGCAGCUCAAGUCAAGGGCAAUAACAUGAGCAUUUAGGUGGUCACAAGUGACCCCAUCCCAUGAGCAGCAAUCUGUACCCUCCUUCCAUGAAUUUGUCUUGGGAUAAGAUUUAAGGCCAGCAAUCCCAUUGCAAUAAGAAGAAGCAUCCUCUGUUAUGGAAAAAGAGUCCUCAAACUGGAUUAGUGAAGAGCAGGAGUGAGAUCCAGAAGAAGAAAAAGAAGCAUAAAGAUGGGGAAAGAAGAGGAAUAGGCAGAGGAAGAGAUAGGGGGCCAUGUUAUGUCUGUAGAGGAAGAUGAAGGAUAGGAAUGGUAUUUAUAGGCAACAAAUAAUACCGCAGUGUUACAGUCUUUUUUUCUUUUACAUUGAGAAGCUAUGGAUAUUAGAUUUUCAAAAUUUUUGUACUUUUCACAAUCAUCAACAACCACUUAGUCUUCUUUUUACCAUAUAUUUUUCAUUCUUAAAAUUGGAUGCUUUCUUUUCGCAAAAUCUUGUAUAUAAUUUGGUCUCCCUAAACAACUAAAAAAUUUAAGAUUAAUGAGAUUACAAAGUAGAUUAAUUUAGCGUUCUUCUCUAUAACACGUAAAGAAUGUGUGUAUGUAUUCACUUGCCUAUCAACCAAAGCUAAUUAAUGUGGAAAUUCUUUUCCACCCAAAAGAACAAAAUUGUGCUCUAUUCAUUAAGUUUGAGGAAGAAGAUUGCUGGGAAAUUUAAUCCACUGAUUCCAUAAAAAAUGUGUAUACUUAUAUAACCUCAUAAUUCAAAUCUAAAAUCUCAUUUGUUAUAAAUUCUGAUAAAUUUCUUUGGAAUUGCUAUUUUUCAUUCGCUAAUUAUUUCUCUUUUAAUCGAGUAAAAAAUUAAAACUAAAAAGACAUAAUGAUUUAUUUGUCAUUUUUUAACUUUACAAACAAAAAGUCAUUUUAACUUUUCAUUUUUUUUUAUCUCUUUUAAAUCACCCAAAAAAAAUGAUGAAAAAGACUAACACUGUUUGUUGACGUGACAAUGCCAUAUGAUCAAUAAUCACCGACAUGGUAGUGCCACGCUAUCGCCCAUUGGUGACAUAUUAACCUUUGAGUUAAACUCAAAUUACUCUUUCCUUUGUUAUAAAUUAAGAGUAUAACUAAUUUUGAUAAGAAAGAUUACUUUUCAUUAACUCAGUUUAAAGGGUUACAACAAGUAAAGUUUGGUCUAUUGCAGAAUUCACAUGCAAUGCGGGACAUUUACAUUAUGCAGAAUUCGACACAUAUAUUGGAAUUUUUGUAUUUCCACAAUCAUCAUGUUGUUCGUGAUCAACAACUACUUCUUUUUACCAUAUAUUUUUCAUUCAUAAAAUUGAUUACUUUUUUUUUUACCAAAGACGUAAAAUUAUUAACAUUCAUGAGAUUACAAAGUUAUUUAUCACUUCUAAUAUCUAAUAUUUCAUUGUAGAAUAAUUAAAUUAUUUGUUUCACUAAUGAUAUUUUAACACAUUAACUAUGUAUUGCAGUUUAAAAAUAAUAAUGUAGAUUAUAUAUUAUUUUUAUAGUAUUAUAUAAUAUGAUUUUAGUAAAUUCAUAUAAUAGUAAUUAUGUUAAGAAUUUUAUUAAAUUAUAUUUAAUAAUAAUUAUUUUCAAAUAUGGUUAAAUUAUUUAUUAUUUUUAUUAAAUUAUUUUUAAUAAUAAUCUUAUUAGAAUUUAAUAACAAUAAUCAUCUACCUAAAAAAAAUCUGCUAAAAGUAUUCUAGUCAUUUUAGUUUUUUUCCUUAUGCUGUUACAACAUCAUUCCAUUCAACCAAACACAAGAAUACUAUUACAGUUCUAUUCCGUUCCAUUCAAACAAACAAUUGAAUUACUGAUUACAACUCUAUUCUAUUACAGUGAACCAAAUGUACCCUUAAUAUGAAUGGCUGUCAAGCAAUGUAGAAAUUUGCACACAAAAGAACAAAAUUGUGCACUACUUAAAAAUUCAAAGCAUGUGUGGCCUAUAUUCAUUUGUUUUAUUGCAUAAAAUUGAAGGCACGUAUGUUGAAUAAUUUUCCCAAAAACUCAUUUCACUCUUAGCUUUAUAAUGAAAAAAAAGUUAUUUUAGCCCUUAAUUUAAUUUUUCAUCUUUUUUAGCCCUUAAACCUACAUUAUUUAUCAAAUAACCCUUAAACUUACAUUGUUUAUCAGAUGAAAAAAUUAAUAUCAAUUAACUUUGCUAAUGUGCAUACAUAUGCAACUUCAUUUAAAUCUAAAAAAUAUAAAAAUAAUUAAAUAUGUAUAAAUCUAAAGAUAUCCUAAAAUUAAAACUAAAAUUUUUUAAACUAAUGCAAAUUUUUAUUAUUUAAAAAAAUCUUAAAAAUUUUCAAAAUAAAUUCCAUUUGUUUUCAAAUAAAGAGAAAAAUUGAAAACCAUGAAAUGUUAAGUGUGCCUUUUGUUCAGCCAUUUUUUUCCCCUUUCUAGCAAAUUACAGAUCUGAAAAUAGUGAUCAAAUUGUCCUUGAUCGUCUAAUUUUGGUUAGGGGACAUGUUGGAAAAGGAUUAACCCUACAGUUAUAUUUUGUCUCCUCUCAUCAAUGGUAUUGUGAUACCCAAAGUUUGGUAUCAUGAUAUCUACAACAGUCUUGGGGAUCUUUGGGAGUUUUGGGUAUCGCGAUACCUUAUAACCAGUAUCACGAUAACACUGUUGAUGGCUCAAUUUUCCUUGUUUUUAACAUUGUUAUGGGUAUUACGACUUUCAUGCUUUGAUAUGCGAUAUCCUCUUUCUAGGUGACAUUUUCGCUCCUUCUGAGCCACCAUGGGCUCUCUGCAUCACUCACGAGCCUCAUCAGAUUCCCCGGGUGCCCUUUGGCCAUCUCAGGUCUCAAAAUAGUAUCAAAAUGCACACUAAUCAUUUAUUAAUAUAAAGAACAAAAACUAAAUAAAAAAACAACAAAGAUAUCUAAAUUCCUUGAAAAUAAGCUUUUAAGUGUGAUGGAGAGCCUAAUUUAACAUAUCAAUUUACAGCAGAUCAUAAACAUAAUUUGCGGAACAUUGUUUAAAUUUCGAACUUCUUUAUUAGUUUUCUUUCAAUAUUCUGUACGGUACAUUUGUAGUAAUAUAUUGUGCAGAUCAUAGACUACAUUGCUUUAUUAGUGUUCUAUUGUUAAUCUUUUAUUAUUAUUAUUAACACCACUUCCUUUUUACCAUAUAAUUUUUAUCCAUAAAAAUGAAGAGUUGAUUUACCAAAAAUUAGUAUUUCAUUUGAACUCCCUAAAGAAAGAAGAAGAAUUGAUGAGAUUACAAAGUAUAUUGACUUGCUCUUGCUUCCUUUAUAUGUAUGAAUGUGGAAUUUGGCAUAAUGCCAACUUAUUUUCCACGCAGAAGAAAACGGCGCUCUAUUCACUCCCUUUAACUUGACAAAAUACAGGACAUGUGAUCCACCAAUUAAUGUUUGACUAUCUCCAUCUCACUUUUUAUUAAUCAAGGAAUAUAAGCUUACUAUUUCAACAUUUCACAAGCAACAGCUAAAAUAAUAUUGGUCACAUUAUAAGACAAAAGUUAAAACAGCCUUCAGUACUUCAUCUACAUUCCACGUCAAAUCUGCAAGCAUCAAAUAUUGACCUUUGAACUCCAUAGUCCAUAAUAACAACACCAAUUUCUAACAAUUGCAGAAGAAUGUCCAGUAAUUCCACACAAAUCAACAACAAUUUGCAGCAUCCACUACAUUCAUAUGAAUUCCACACAAAUUAAGACUGCAAAUUCUAACUUGUUUAUACCCUCAAUGAAGCUACCUAAAAGAUAUGAAUUUUAUAAUAUUCUAAAGUUAAGUGACCAGAACAUAAAUUUUCUAAUAGAUUAGUACUUGAGGUGUAGUUUACCUUAUAAUAAAUAACUAAAAUAAAUUUGUGAAUCAAUUGCAUAAUUAAAUUAAGAUUUUCAAGCCUUUUACCAAACCAAACUUGAAAGGAGAAAAAGAUUCAUGAAAGAAUCCACUUUUAAAAGACUUUCACUUUUCCCAAGUCCAAUACACAAAUUCACAAGAUCCCACACUUUCAUUUAUCCUCUUCAGAAAGCAAGGUCCACAACAAGAGAUUAAUUUAGAUAUUAAUUAUUUUAUUUUAAUUAAGUGAGUUUAAAUUAAUGAUAUUUGUUAUAAUAAUUAAGUUAUACUUUCGGGAAGGUUGAUAAUAAUGUUCACACCAUAGAUGUUGUGAAGAGCCACUAAAAGUGAUAAUUUAUCUAUGCUGAAAAGGUGUUUGAAUAGAGUAUUGGACAAUGUCCUACCUAAAGACCCAAAAGGGAUGCCAAUUUAAGAUCCAAGGAAGCCUUCGACUUAUCUCACUUGUGUAAGGAGCAGCAGUUAUCUCUUUACUAUUAACAACAUAAUCAUAUUCUAUAAUUCACCUUUAAGGUGUCUUAUUCACUUGUUUAGGUCAACUAUACCAAAUUCAGCAUUUUAUUUCGCCAAACCAAAAUUGUUAUUUGCCAUAUAGGGAUCGCCAAGCCUAUAAAAGCCAAAAUCAUUUCAAAGAUUUGCCUCGUUUAGCUCGAUUCUUCAAUUUAUCUUCUCAAUCUCAAUUAUUAACGUUUGUCUCUCCAACUUGCCUCCUCAAAUUUAAUCAUUAAAACUAAAUGCAUUACGUGCUCACCAUACUACAAGAACAUAAACUUAUUUAUUUCAAGAGGAUCACUUUAUAAAUUUCCAUCAAUUAGGGAAAAAUUAUUAUACCUCUAUAAGUAUAUUUUAAAAUAUGGCGAUAUUUCAAGAUACCACCUAUCACAUUUCAAUAAAACUCAUUAUAUAUCUACCACCAUCAUAAUUAAGUAAUAGAGGCAUCAUUCUAUAUGGACACACAUCAAGCUCAUUUCCUUUUAUGUAAAGUCCUCUCCAUAACCUCUCAUAAUAAAUUUUGAAAAUAAUUAAUGUUAAUUAUUCACGUAAUUCUAAUUUUCAAUUAUUUCCUUAAAAAUUAAAAAUAACUACUCUGUUAAUGCCAUGUAGCUAUCUUGAUUAAUGAUUUCAUUUAAUUUGUUUUCCUCCUGACUGGGAAAUGUGGACUUGACAACAAAAUGAAAUUUGAGCAUGACACCUUAAUUUUGUGGUUGGUUUGACGAAUACUGAAGGUUGGUCAUCUUGAAACAUAUAUAAAAUUAAAUGAUUGAAUUAUUUGAAAUCAUGAAAUAAAAUAAUUAUGAAAUUAGAAUUUAAGAUUAGAGGUUAUUUUUAGAAAUUUAACUUUUUAAUUAAUUAAUUUAGCACAAAUUUUAUACAAGUCAUGAACUUAAUUUCAUCAAAUUAUAUUAUCCAACUUUUACUGUUAAUAAAUUAAGCGGUAAAAAAACACAUGUCUUGAUAUAAAUAUCAAAAUUGAUUAUAUUUAAGGUGGUACAAAUAAUUGCAAGAAAUUGUAAUUAUUAGGUAGUGAUUAUAACCUCUCAUAGUAAAUUUUGAAAAUAAUUAAUGUUAAUUAUUCACGUAAUUCUUCUAAUUUUCAAUUAUUUCCUUAAAAAUUAAAAAGUGUAAACUCUUAAUUAACAAAAAUAUAUAAAUUAUAAUGGUUAAGCAAAUAUGUCAUAAAUAUGUAAUUACAUCAAAAUUUAAUUACUAUUGAUUUCUAAACACCCCUAAAAUUUCAAUGAAGCUACCUAAAAGAUAUGAAUUCCACUGCAAAUUUUGUAUUGCUUGGAAUGAAUUGACUGUCAUUUUCUAUUACUUGCCACAAAAUUUUGUAUUGCUUUAAAUUCAGACAAGAAAUAGGAGAAAAAACUACAUGGAAAGAAAUUUUGCUAAUUCAAUUUCCCAAGUCUUUACACAAAGUUGGCUCUAAAUUAAAUUUAGUAAAAGAAAAGAAAACAUGUCUUAAUUUCUGUAUAUUAUAUAAAUCAGUUUUGUUACCUUGGAAUUCUGAUAAGUUCAAUUUGGAAUAUGAUUAAUUUUGGUUAAAUUGGAGUGAAUAUUACUAUUUCCAUUUUAGCAAUUAAAGCAACCUAUAUGUACCCUUUUACACUCUGCAUUGUUCCAUGUUUCAAUUCAUUAUAUCAUUCCUUCAACUCUGCUAUAUAUUAUUACUUUCUCCAUAUAACCAAACCUUUUACUGCUAACUUGUAAAAAAAUUAUGAAAAUACAACACAGAUCAUUGAACCAUUUUGUUCUCCUUUCUCCUUUACUGUGCAGUAGCAAUGAUUAUCGAGACUAAAUUGAAAGUCAUGAAAGAAGACAUAAACAACACCACCAUACAAAAUGUUACACUCAAACAAACCAUUACAGAUAGUACGAAAUGCAAUCAAAGACAGAGGAAUUGGUACAAUAAUAAAGACAGAGACAUACCGAUGCAACCCGUCACCAUAGGCAAAACGGUCUACAGAACAAGAAAUUAUGAAAAUACAACACUAAUUCUUGAACAUCAUUUGCAGUAAUUAGAUCCUUCUUCGUCUAUUGCUUCGAUUGCCUUUCUUUGACUUUCUUCUUCCCCUCGCCUCUUGUUGGUUUUCAACCAAAUUCACCAACCAUUUCGGCUUACCAGUUUGGAAAACAACAUAUCCCAUGGACAUUCCGAACACCACUCCGCAUCCAUAACCUAUCAACACCACUUUCCAACCAAAAGCAAUGUUUGAUUUUGAGCCAUCUUUUUCAAGCACAUUUGGAGGUGCUGGCUCAAUGAUGUUGCAACCUUUCGAGACCGGAAACCCACACAGUCCCUUAUUCCCUUCAUAUGAAUCAUUUCCAAAUGUGUUGAAUUGUUUGCCUUGAGGAAUCUGACCAUGGAGUUGAUUUUCAGAAACAUUUAAGGACGAAAGAAAUGGCAGAUCUGCCAGUCUAUUUGGAAUCGUCCCAGACAACCUGUUUGAAGAUAGGUCCAACCAUUCAAGACUUGUCAAAUUCCCUAUUGAGGUGGGGAUACCACCAUUAAGGUUAUUAUGAGAAAGGUUGAGCCCUUUCAGUAAGUUAAGUUUCCCAAUAACCUUUGGAAUACCCCCUUCAAACUGAUUGUUUGAUAGAUCAAGGAUCAUCCACAUGGUGAAAAUUUUCACCAAUUCCCUAUCUUGUCCUUUCAUAACAAUUCCAAUGGAAUAGGUAUAGAAGCCACUAGCUCUCUCAGCAUAUACCCCCAUGUACGACAUUGUACUCCCAAUCUUCUCUGGAUUUAUGAUAGCCUUGAAGCUGUUGAUGUAUCUCACUGGUAGGGGCCCAGAAAAACAAUUACUUGAGAGAUCAAAAAUUUGGAUUUUAGAGAAAAAAGGGCUAGACUUGGAGCUAUUGACACAUAAGGAACCAUGCAUAUGAUUUGACUUCAAUACAAGAACUUGUAGCUGUGGAAGGCUUCCCAACCAAUGAGGAAAUGUAUCAUUGAUCUUGUUGUUACCAAGAUCUAGCACUUCCAGACCUCUACAAUUAAGGAUGGAUGGUGUCAAAGGCCCUUCUAACAAAUUUCCAUUUAAGUUGAGAUUACUCAGUUGGCAUCCCUUUGCAAAUGUUGGAGGAAUCGUCCCAUAAAACUUGUUCUUCUUCAGAUUCAAGAAUUCAAGGCUGUUGCUCAAAUUUCCAAAACAUUGCGGAAUUGUUCCACUCAAGUAAUUGUGGGACAAAUCAAGAAUUUGCAGAUAAGUGGCAUUGCAUAUUAAAGAAGAGACCACUCCAUUCAAACUAUUAUUUGAGAUCAAAAAGACAUUGAUGGUCGAAGCUGGAAUCGGAAGAUUUCCACGGAUCAAAUUGGAGCUUAAGUCAAGAACUUCAAUAUACUUCCAUGGAAAGUGCUCAACUUCUGUCAAAGAGUUGUGAGAUACAUUUAAGUAAGUUAAAGAGCCAUUCCCCACCUCUUGCAUCCACUGUGGAAUCUUGCCUUCAAUUUUGUUGCAAGAGAGGUCUAACCAUUCCAAACUUUUAAGCCCUUUUAAAAAUUGGGGGAAUUCACUAAGAUUGCAAGAUGACAAAAAUAAGCUAUUAGAUGUUAAGGAUAGGCUGUUAUAUGAAAGGUCGAGAUGAUAUAGAUUUGGAAGGUUUGAGAACAUGCGAAACUCUAUGACACCACUAAGAUUAUUUGAGGAUAAAUCGAGCCAGCUAAGAUUGAGAAGUUGGAAUUUUGAAGAUGGAAGAGGACCUUGGAGUUUAUUAUUUCCUAGAUAUAAAUAUUCUAGUGAUUUGGAUUGGAAUUCUUUGAUAUGCCCACUGAAUUGAUUUUGAGAGAGAUCCAUACCCUCUAAGGAGGGAGCAGUAUACAACCAUGACGGAAGUGUUCCAUUGAGUAAAUUGUCAGAUAAGUCUAAAUGUAUUAGAUUAGGAAAAGCGGUUACCUCAUCUGGAAUGGAACCUUCUAAUGAAUUAUUAGAUAUUUCCAAGAAUUCCAGCUGCGUUAGGUUUAGAAUUGACAAUGGAAUUUGUCCACUCAGUUGGUUCUGCGAGAAGUCUAAAGAAGUGAGUUGCAGGAGGUUCCCCAAUGACAAUGGAAUUUGUCCACUCAAUUGGUUCUGCGACAAGCGUAAAUGAGUGAGUUGCAAGAGGUUUCCCAAUGAUCUUGGAAUUUGUCCACUCAAUUGGUUCCACGACAAGUCUAAACGAGUGAGUUGCAAGAGGUUCCCCAGUGAUUUUGGAAUCAGUCCUGAUAAGUUGGACUUGGAGAUACCUAAAAACUUCAAGGACACAAGAUUCCCCACCGAGUCAGGCAAUCCUCCAAAAAAAUUUGCGCCUAAAAUUAUCAAUUGCUCCAAAGAUGAUAAAUUUGUGAUUGAGACAGACAAUCCUUGAAUGAAAGAAUUUCCUGAUAGACGUAAGUACUUUAAGGCCUGUAGAUUAUCAACUGAAUCAAUGAAUUCUGUAGAGAAGGACAUCCACGACAGAUCCAAAUGUUCAAGAUUGCUGCUCCGAUUGAACUUCAAAGGAUCAAGAUUGAGGUUUUGGUUGUUUCGCAAGUUGAGGAGAUUGAGGUUUGGCAAAUCAAAAAUGUUUUUUGGGAAUUUUCCUUGCAAAUCACAACCACCAAGACUGAGAGACCUUAGAGAAGAGGAUAGAUUCAUGAAGACAUGAGCAUUAACAGAAGACAUGUUGAUUUCAUCCAAAAACAGAUGUCUGACCUCGGUUAGGUUGUGAACAAGUCCCUCCAGAGCAUAUUUGUCAAUUGUUAAUUGUUCCUCAAUCCCAGAAAGAUCAAGUGAAACCAAUUUUGACAGGUGGGAGACUUGGGAUGGGACUUCUCCUGCAAACCCUGUAUGGGAAAGGUUGAAGUAGAAUAGGCUUGUAAACUGACCGAACUCGGAUGGAAUUUUGGAAAGAUUAAAAUCAUUGUAGGCAAGGUUGAGUUUUUGAAGGUGAGGAAGAAGGAAGAGAGUGGUAUUGGAAGGGAAGUUGCCAUAUAGCCAACUGCAGCUCAAGUCAAGGGCAAUAACAUGAGCAUUUAGGUGGUCACAAGUGACCCCAUCCCAUGAGCAGCAAUCUGUACCCUCCUUCCAUGAAUCUGUCUUGGGAUAAGAUUGAUCAUCGCAAUCAAAAGAAGCAGCAUCUGUCUGAGUGAUGGAAAAAGAAUUCUUGAACUGGAUUAGCGAAGAGCAGGAGUGAGAUCCUGAAGAAGAAAAAGAAGCAUAAAGAUGGGGAAAGAAGACUAAUAGGCAGAGAAAGAGAUAGGAGGCCAUGUUAUGUUUGUAGAGGAAGAUGAAGGAUAGGAAUGGUAUUUAUAGGCAACAAAUAAUACCACAACAUUGGUGUUACAGUCUUUCUUUUCUUUUACGCUGAAAAGCUAUGGAUAUUAGAUUUUCAAAAUUUUUGUAUUUUUCACCAGCAUCAACAACCACUUAAGUCUUCUUUUUUCCAUAUAUUUUUCAUUCGUAAAACUGAAUUCUUUUCUUUUAGCAAAAUCUUGUAUUUCAUUUGAACAUGUAAAGAAUGUGUGUGUCUAUUCACUUGCCUGUCAACCAAAGCUAAUUAAUGUGGAUAUUCUUUUCCACACAAAAGAGCAAAAUUGUGCUCUAUUCAGCUACGUUUGAGGAAGAAAAUUGUUGGAAAUUUAAUCCACUGAUUCCGUAAAAACAUGUAUACUUAUAUAUAUAUAUAUAUAUAUAAUUUCAUAACUCAAACCUAAAAUCUCAUUUGUUAUAAAUUAUGAUAAAUUUAUUUGGGAAUAGUUAUUUUUCAUUCGUUAAUUAUUUCUCUUUUAAUCAAGUAUAAAAUUAAAAUUAAAAAGACGUAAUGAUUUAUUUGGUAUUUUUUAAUUUUACAAACAAAAAGUUAUUUUAACUUUUCCUUUUUUUAUCUCUUUUAGUCUUGAAAUUUAUAUGGUUUGUUAAAUCAUCCAAAAAUAAUAAUGAAAAAUACUAACAAAACUAGCACCUACGUGGCUGAUGUUGACCCUUAGUAGCUAAUGACAACACCUACGUAGUUGUUAACAGAUACUACACCAACAUUGUUUGUUGACAUGACAAUGCCACAUGACCAAUAAUUGUUGACAUGGUAGCGCCACCCCAUCGCCCAUUGAUGACAUAUUAACCUUUGAGUUAAACUCAAAUUACUAUUUCCUUUGUUAUAAAUUAAGAGUAUAACUAAUUUUGAUAAGAAUGGUUACUUUUCAUUAACUCAAUUUAAAGGACUAUAACACGUAAAGUUUGGUCUAUUGCAGAAUUCACAUGCAAUACGGAACAUUUACAUUAUGCAGAAUUCAACACAUAUAUGAGAAUUUUUGUAUUUCCACAAUCAUCAUGUUGUUAGUGAUCAACAACUACUUCUUCCUUAUAACACGUCAAGUUUGGUCCCAAAUUAUUUUUCCCACAAAAGAAUAAAGAGGAAGAAGACUACUACAGAUUUAACUAUCAAUUGUCUAUUGACUAUACUUUAACUCCACAAAAAAAGACUAAGACGAAGACUAUCAAUUGUCUAUUGACUAUACUUUUAACUCUACAAACAAAGACUAAGACUAUCACUUGUCUAUUGACUACACUUUAACUCGACAAAAAAAGACUUAAGACUAGGACUAUCCAUUGCCUAUUGACUAUACUUUUUAACUCCACAAACAAAGACUAAGACCAUCAGUUGUCUAUUGACUACACUUUAACUCGACAAAAAAAAGACCAAGACUAAGACUAUCAAUUGUCUAUUGACUUCACACUUGCUGUUGCUUCCUCCUAUCUCUCUCUCCCAAACUUAAUUUACAAGCAAUGUGGAAAUUUUGGACAUUUGCGCCACAAAUAAAAAAUACUUCCACACCAUUUGCAGUAUUGACUACGUUUACUUGAGGGAAAACAAAAACAUGAAUGCUGGGGAAAUUGCAUUAUAGAAAACAUGUGUAUCCUAUAUAUGUUGAACAAUACUAUCUAACAAACAUAUUUUCCGCAAGACUAGAAAAUUUGUAUGUCAUUUUCUAUUACUUGCAAGAAAACUACCGGGGAAAUUGCAUUUCUAAUUCAUCCAUAGGCUUUAAAUUCAAACAAGAAAAGGAAAAUAAUAUAUAUAUCAACAGGAAACUUCUAGGAGAGAGAUUUUGUUACAUCAAUUUUCCAGUUAUUUAAUCUUUACCCAAAGUUGGUUCUAGAUUAAAUUUGGAAAAAAUUAAAAAAGAGGACAUGUAUUUUUUAUUUUUGAAAAGUAAAGGAUUAUAACUCAGCCAAAUAAAAAAGUCACAAUGCAAAGCCAAGAGCCAAAGCCAAGCCAAGCACACACUCAACAAGCAGAAAAACCAACAACAUUGAAAACAAAAGCGAACCGAAUUGCAUCAUUAUAGUGUUAUCUAUACAAUCAAGUGAUGAUAUCCAUAUUAUUUUCCCACUAAUUAAUUCAGUUCAAUAAACAUAAUUUGAAUUAAUGGCCUAAAUUUUAAACUUUGAAGAAACAUAAGGCAACUGAAUGAAAAUUAAUAACCUCCAUCACCAGAUCUGCCCGCGCUUGUCUUCCUACGUGUCCUCCAAGUAAGUAAGAUAGUGAUUCUCUCCUUUAGAGAUCAUGAAGAUAAAAGAUUGAACCUAAACAUCAGGAAAAUAUGUCAGUGGACAUUACAGUCAGAAAAAACAGAUGAUGAAGUACAGCAUCCAAAAUCCAUACCAUCAUUCUUUUUCUUAGAUGUCAAUGCUUACUGCUACUGUGGUCCCAUUGAGGCAAAAUUCUGGGAAAUGUUUGAGCCUUUUACCACAUGUCCAUGCAGUGCCUGCUCACACAAUAUCGGAACUUUGUUCAGUCAAGUUCCUCAAAAGAUAGCCCUGUAAUAUGCAACAUAUAAAUCAGUGUCAGAAAAGGCCAAAGAAAGAGUAAGGAACUGAACUAGUAGAAAAUCAAGAUAACAUACCAUAUUAUCCAGUGCUUGAGCUUUCAGAGCACUAAUCUCGAUCAUUGCACAAUCAGGAAACGCAAAGCUAGCAGCAUGCCAUGUUUCAGUGACUCUGUCACUGAGUUUUAUUUAAAAAAAUGUAAAUUUCAGAAGGAAACAUGAAUUCCAAAGAUCAACGACUCCACUGAGUUUGUCGCUUCAAUAAAAAAUGGUAAGAACAACAAGACCAGUUAACAAUAAUCAAUAAUAACAUUUUCUACAACACUAAAAAUGACUCGUAGGGAUUAUAAAUUUGAGGGGGAAAUGUAUGAACAAUGGGAUCAAUUACACCUUACAAGCAUGUGAUAACUAGCAGACAUAACUCAUACAAGACCUAGAUGUAUUAUUGAACUCUUAUAUAAAAGACAACUGAAGAUGCAAAGCUUAAUUGUUAAGCUUUUCUGAUCCUUGAUAAGCAUAGUUUUAGUUCAGUUCCGAAAUCUAAACUGCUUUGCUAUGGGAUUAUUUUUAUAAGUACAUUGAGAUCCAUGCAUGCUAUUGCGAUUUAUUAUCUUUGAUUCCAUGGAAAUGACGGAAUUCAAACACCAAAAGGUUCAAUUACAUACUAGAUCAUGGAUGUAAGCCAAUCUACAACCUCCUCCCUCCUCGACCUCCAUUUGAAACCAGCAUGAUUUGAAUUCUCAGCCGCAUAUACCCUCACAAACUCCUCAGCAACAACAUAAAACAUAUACCUAACACUCCUUUGAGAACCGAUAACUGCACAGACAGAUUCACUGGUGGAAUCCUUCAAGAAAUAUUGAACCACACAAUUACCACACUCCUGUGAAAUAAACUCCUCCUGCCACUCGAAACAAUGACCAUUUCCAGACAUUUUGAUAGACAAUACACAAUUUGCUUCACUACUUACUCACAUAGCUAAAAGAUGUCCAAUGAAACUGGCAAAGGGUUCUUCCGAAAUGGUACAUUAGCUGCCAAAAAGACAACCACCAUACAUUCAUUCAUUCAGUAAACAGCUUCAAUAUGGCAAUAAGCUAUUAUCUUAAAAAUGCUUUUCUACCACAGAAGAAUAAGAACUAGGCAUCUCAGAAAAUUUGCUAAAUUAAUGACUUUGCUCCCUUCAAAAUAAACAAAUGAUUAACUGCAUUAACCCCAAAGAGGUCACCAUCAACCUCCAGUUGAACUUUCAAGGAAUAAUAAUAAACAAUAGAAGGAAAUAAGGCGGGAAAAAACUAACCAGAACUCAGUAAAAGCUAAGCCUUGAAGAUCUGCAGGUAGUAAGAGAAAAACCCCAUGACGACUAAAGUCCAAGCUUGAAAGGACCAAAAGGGAGCAACAUACGGCUAUGACUCACUGGACCAAGAGAAUCACCAAUGAAUAAAGGAAAAUGGGUACUUUCCUUUAUACCUAAGCAUACAAUAUUUAGCCUCAAAACAAGAUCCUCUUUGGGAAAAAUUCAGGUUUUCACAAAGGGUUUAAGAAAGAGGGUGAAAGUUAAAGAACUUGUCUUUGUUUUGAUGUGUGGUACACGAGAUAGUGAAGGAAAAUAGAGGCGAGGAAAUAAGAUGGAGUAAGUGGUGAAAAAGGAGAGCCUAAAAGAGACAUUUUUGAAGGGUAGUUUAGAAGCUGCAGAGGCUUUGGCAUACAGCAGCUGAUAAUGAGAGAAGACAAACCAGAAACGUAAGUACGACGACGACAAAAAUAAAGUUAAAAAAAUUUUAAGAAUUGAUAAAAUAACAUUUUGUAGCUUAGCGAAUUGGGACGAAGUCCACCAGUCUGAUGCCCAUAGAUCCACACCUGGGAUUUUCUAUUUAGGCUAACCUUCUAACUUCUCCCACCAGUCUUGAAACUUUGCAGAUUUUUUCAAUUUGAUCUGAAUUGUAUGAUAACAUAUCACUUUGAGAUUGGAAAAAAUAAAUAAUUUUUUUUUAAAUUAAAGAAAAAAUAAAGAAACUAAAUUUCAAGCAUGAAAAGUACAAAAGAAAGAACUGUAUUUAUAAAAGAUGAGUUACUUCACCCAGAUUGGAGUACCCUUAAACAAAUUUAUUCUUGUAGAGAAAGAAACUGAAUUUUGAUUUCAUUUGCUGUGGCAAAAUUUUUAAUUUUUAAUUGUGAAAGAAACAGUAUAACAUAUUGAAAGCCUGCCUACGUCUCGGCAGAAAAUUUUACAAAUUCUUUCAUCAGACAAUUUAAAUGAUGCAAUGCAAAGAUUCAUCAAUGUAUGAUCUUUUUACCAUAAAAUGGCUGUUUUACUGGAAAACUUGAUAUGUAUUGUCUUUCACAUUCUUCUGUGCUGAAUGGUCUCCGAAAACUGCAAUCAUCAACUCUAGAUAACCCUUUCCUCAGCGCUGCCAGAGCCGACCUUGUUGUUUCUGUUCUUGAACUCGCCUGUGUCAUCAAAGGCAGUGAGCAUUUAUCAAUGUUAUAAAAAUGGCAUAUCGAAGUCAGAUUUUACUUGACAAUACACAAAUAUAAGAAGAUAAUUCACCUUUGAUACUCUUUAGAAUGCUCGAGAAACUCUUUCGCGAUGUCUUUUCUUUCAUAUGAUUGCAAUACUUGUCUGAUAUCAGCCGGACUAUUGCGCGCUACAUCUGUGAACAAAUCAAAACAAAUGGUACUAUAAUUAACAAAUGAAUAUAGGAAACAUAAAAUUUGAACAAAGGCGAUGUGCAGAGGAAAAAGCAACAACAUAAGACCUACAUUCAAGAAAUGGAAUAAGGUCUAAAAGUGCGGUAUCAUCAGUCUCGAGCUUAAAUGGCUUAAUAGGGACACAAUUUUCUGGUUUUAGGCUAGAAUCAAAUGCAUGAGCACUCACAUAUAAAAUCUUGGUUGGAUCCCUGUUUAGCUUUGAAAGAUCCUGCCAACAGGAACUAUUUGUUAACAAUAAGGCUUCUUUUUAAGUAGCAGCUUGUAAAGGCACUGCCUCAUAGAUUAAUACACGUAGUAUUGUAGAAACUAAGGAGGCGAAAACCAAAAGCAAAAUGUUUUGGAGGGAAGAGAUUGACUAUGACAUGGUAAAAGAAUCAUCGAGGCACCUGUGUUAGGAGUUAGAUUGCAUUUUGCCCCAUUUACUCAGAAACUGAAUAAAUUAGUCCCUGUAUGUUAGAUAAAAGAAAGAGUAAACUAGACUUUCUGUUAAAAACUUCAUCCAUUGCUACUAUUAAAAACUGGUGCAGUUGAUAAAAUAACCAAAUAGUUACACAUAAUGUGUCACGUGUACCUCAUGCUAAUGUACAGGGACCAAUUUUUAACAGUAAAAAUGGAUGGAACUUGUAACAGAAGGGCUAGCUUGCUUUUUCAUCUAAUGUACAAGGAUUAAUUUGCCCAUUUUUUUAGUAGAGGGGGUUAAAUGCAAUAUGACUCCUAGUACAAGGGCCUCCAUGGUACUUUUACCACUAUAACAUACUCCAUAAUGCUUGCCAUUCGGAUAUUUAGUAGCACCCCUUGAUAGCCUAGAUCGUAUACAAUGGUCAGUGUCCAACAUUUCACAAACAGAAUCAACAUACUGCAUAGCCAAGAAAAAACUAAUUAUGAACUUGCAGGCAACAUCAGUUAUGAUAUACUUGUGUAUCUAAAAUGGUAGCCACAAUGACAAUAUCAAAUUACCAUAUUCAUCUGGUCAGAAUAGACGACAAUUUCAUAGAACUUUGCUAGAUGUUCCAGAAAGGCAUCAACACCAGGUCUUUUGAAGGUACGCCAGCCUCUCUCUCGCUUUGUCAACCAAAAACGGAACGUGUUAGAUAUCGUAAAGGUGAAAUGGAAAAUAAUUUUAAGUCAAAUUCUUACCUUCCAGUCUGUAUAAAGUAAUGUCUCGUUCAGAUCUAGGACAAGAGUGAAAACAUGCUGUUCUAGAGGAUGCAAAUCAGGAAGAUGCUUAUCCGAAGUCGGUUCAUUAUAUUCCUGAAAGUACGAGAUAAAAUUAUGAGAACAAAACAAAAGAUAGGCCGACAAUAAUAGAAAACCGGAAACAAGAGAAAGAAGAACACUCCUCACCAGCAAAUGUUCUUCCACUAACCUCCUGAGAUCCAGAUAAGAUUCAAGUGCUUUAGCCGGAACUGAAAUGUUACAAGCAAAGAAACCAGGAAUAAAUUGGGUUCGAACCAGAGCAUGUAAACAAAUCAAUCAUUGACCAACAUGAUAGACAGCAACCAGCACCAACGGAAUUUUCUUUUCUGUCUCAACAAAUCCAUUUAUAAUAAAGCAGCCCAAAUUUUCAAAAGGAAUAUUUUGGUAAAAGUACCAUGGAGGCCACUAAGAGAUGAAUUGCAUUUUGACCCCUCUACUCAAAAAAUUGGCAAAUUAGUGCCUAUGUUAGAUCAAAAAGUAAAUUGGCCCUUUUAUUAAAAACUCUUCAGUUAUUCUGUCAACCAUGCUAGUUUUUAACAGUAGAAAAGAACGAAAUUUUUAACAGAAAGGACCAUUUUGCUCUUUGAUCUAAUGUACAAUGACUAAUUUGCCCAUUUUCUUAGUAGAGGAGGCAAAAUGCAAUCUGACACCUAAUACAGGGGCCUCCAUGGUAUUUUUACCUGAAUAUGUCCGGGUACUAGACAGUGCAAACUGAAUGCCCUGUUAUGCAAAUAUUGUGCUCGUAAUUAGGUUGACAUACAGAACAAAGACUUUAGAGAUAAUUGUAACCAUGAACAAACAAAGAAGCAAUAAGAGAGAGGAACACAAUAACGUCCUCACCUGUCAUUGCAGCGGAGUAAAGCAAGCCUCCAUAUUUCUGAAAAAGAUAUGGAAAAAAAAAAAACUGUUACUUUCAUAUCUAAUUUCUUCAUAGUAUUAGGAUAAACUAAACAAUGGGUAUAUCACAUUAUUAAGACUUAGCUAAGGUACCGCAGAUAUACAUUCAAAUGAUCAAUCAUAAAGGAUGAACUAGGAGGCCCAAUGAUCAAUCAAAAUUACACCUAAACCAGUUAGCUGUCUAAAGCCAAUUGCACAUUAUAUCAAUCAAACAACUAAAAUAAAUAGAGAAAAUCCUUUAAAAUAUUCAAUUUCUAAACAAAAUCAAACUCACAUCAAUAGCAGAUCUUGACAAAGAAACCCAAAAUCACAAAUGAUCCGAUCUUUUUAAAAGGGGAAAAAGAAAACUUACUAUAAGAGAGAUAACCAGCAUAGCCAGUAGUUCCAGUAACACCAGCAAUGAGUCCGUACUUGACAAAGCUCCAAAUUUUCCCUCCCAAAACCUGUGGGGCAACUUUUGGCGCCGGAGGAGGAGGUGUCGACUGAUCGGAGAGAAUGGAUUGUGAAGAAAAUAUUGUUCCUUUAGAAGGAUCCGAACAAGACAUAAUGAUUUAUUUGGCUUUUUUUAACUUUACAAACAAAAAUUCAUUUUAACUUUAGUUUUUUUUUUUAAUCUCUUUUACCCUUGAAACUUAUAUGGUUCGUUAAAUCACCCAUUGAUGACAUAUUAACCUUUGAGUUAAACUCAAUUUGCUCUUUCCUUUGUUAUAAAUUAAGAGUAUAACUAAUUUUGAUAAGAAUGGUUACUUUUCAUUAACUCAGAUUAAAGGACUAUAACGCGUAAAGUUUGGUCUAUUGCAGAAUUCACAUGCAAUGCGAGACAUUUACAUAUACAGAAUUCAACACAUAUAUGGGAAUUUUUGUAUUUCCACAAUCAUCAUCAACAACUACUUCCUCUUUACCAUAUAUUUUUCAUUCAUAAAAUUGAUUACUUUUUUUACCAAAGAAGUAAAAUAAUUAACAUUCAUGAGAUUACAAAGUCUUCUACCUUAUAACACGUCAAGUUUGGCCCCAAAUAAUUUUCCACACAAAAGAAUAAAGAGGAAGAAGAAUGCUACAAAUUUAACUCCACAAAAGGACUAAGGGCCAGUUCUUCAUUAUUUUUGAAAAGUACUUUUGAAAAGUGUUGUGGAAAAGUACUUUUGAGAAGUACUUUUAAAAAAUGUGAGUGUUUGGUAUUGCUGUCAAAAAGUGCUUUUGAAAAAUAAAAUGUUCAUUUUAGACAUGAUAUUAUAAAGUAACAAAUAUGUAUUUAAAUAAUGUUCAAAUUAGUUAAUAUUAUGAUAUUUUAGCAAAAAUAUAAAAAUAAUUUAUUAUAACUUAUUGUUAAUAUUUUAAUAUAUAAUAUUAAUUUUAAAUAUUUCUAAGUAAUUAAUAUUAAUUAUUUAUUAAAUUUAAUUAGAAUAUAUAAACUAUAUUUAAAUAUUUAAAUAUAAUAAUUAAAUAUUUGUAAUUAGAUAUUGACACAAUUGUAUUAUUAUAAAAAUUAUUUUUUAUUUUUAAUUAAUGUUUUUAACACAUUUGUAUUAUUUUAUUUUAAAAUGUAUUUGAAUAUAUAACUCAUAUUAGAUAUUAACAUAACAUAGAAAACAUAAACCUUACAAAUUAAAAUAUUACAUAUAUUUGGAUUAAAGUUUUAAAAAGGGAUAAUAUUUAUAUACCAAAUAUAAACACUAAAAAUUUUACAAUAGCAUUUACAAUUUAAAGUGAAUAUUCAUUAAAUUUUACAAUAGCAUUUACAAUAGCAUCUCUUGUUAAUUCUAUUUCAAAACCACUUGAAUUGUUUGAUUCACCGUCAUCAUCGUCGUCAUCAUCAUCACUUUCUCGACCAUGCGCAUUUUCUGAAUCAAUAAUAUUCUCAUAUGCCCAGUUAAUAUCUUCGUAUUCCAUAAAAUCUGCAUCAUUUCGACCGAAAUAUUUUGCGGAUAAAAUUGUGUAUCGUCAUUGUAGCAACAACGAUCAUGGUUUGCUUUUCAAAACUAUAACUUGGCAUAUCCCUUAAAAUGACCCUUUUUUUUCAAAACACCAAAAGUUCGUUCAAUCACACUACAUAAUGAUGAAUGUGAAUGAUUGAAUAUCUCUUUUAUACCAGAUAUCGGUCUACCUCUACGAAAGUUAGAUAAAUGAUAUCGCUGUUAUUUUAGUACGGCACUCUUUAAUAUGUACCAUUUGCAAUACAUUUAAGUAAAAAUAUUAUUAUAUAGAAAGUCCUAAGGCAGUCAUUAAGAAAACCCAUGUAGUUACUUCAAACAUGUGGUAUUAUUGAUUAUCAAAGUAAUGGCAUUAAAGGCAUGACUUCCCCACUCCACCGGUCCAGCUGCAACUGCAUUAAUGGAGGAAAAAAGACACAUACCUAGCUACAAAAUUAUGGCUUGUUUCCAAACCUUACCAAACCAUGAACUCGACAUGAUACUUCAAACAAUAGAAUCACCAAACUAAAAGAGAAAAAAAGAAUUUCAAAAACUAGAAUAAAUUGCUUGGAUGUUUAAGUUCACCUGGGAAUAUAUAUAUAGAAAGGCAAAAGCUGAAGUAAAAAGCCAGUGUAACCUCCAGAGAGAAGCUUAAAAGAAUGGAAAUGCUAGCAUUUACCAAUCAGAAUUAAUAUAUAGUAAAGUAAUUAAGUUGAAAAAAAGAACUUUGCAAAUGAAGAAGAGACAGAAAACAACACACAUAAAAAAUGGACAAAGACUGAUGAUGUUUUGAAACCAUGCAUCCAGAAAAUAGAAUAAGAAGAGAACAAAUCCAUCAACCACCUCUCUGAAAACUAUCCAUUUGCCAGCAGAGGAACAAAAAACCGGCACCAGCAGAGGAACAAAGAACCAGCGAUGAGAGCAAAGAACCAGCGUUGUGUGUGUGGCUAAAAAAAGUAAAAGACCAGCCCAAAAGCACUAAAGCUAAAAAAUUCUGCUUAAGACUAUCAAUUGUCUAUUGACUACACUUUAAGUCGACAAAAAAAGACUAAGACUAUUAAUUGUCCAUUGACUUCACACUUGCUGUUGCUUCCUCCUAUCUCUCUCACCCAAACUUAAUUUACAAGCGAUGUGGAAAUUUUGGACAUUUGCGCCACAACGUACAAUACUUCCACACCAUUUGCAGUAUUGACUACGUUUACUUGAAGGAAAACAAAGACAUGAAUGCUGGAAAUUUUAACUAGUUUGUUCCGUCAAUGAAGCUACGUACCUAAAAGCCAUUUAGGAUACCAAUUCCUGUAAUUGGAUUAAUCUCAUCGUUGCUGCAAUCUUUUGACAGUGUAAUCGAAUCAUAAAUAGGUUACUCUGCAAUGCUAUUGUAAAUAUGACUCUUAAAUUUGUCGAUAGAUAUAUAGGUUCGGCACAAAAUUAAGAAUACACAAAGGCAGGAUGAAUUAUUCCAUGUUUGAACAUCUGCAACAUAAAUGCAUAUGGCAAAAGGGCUCAAACCAUACCUUAUGUUCAUGAAUUCUCAUCAUCACGUGUUUAUCAAUGCAACUCAAAACUUCAAUAAUUGAAUCUUUUGUAAUUCUACAUGUAUUUUUUUAUGGUGAGCAGUAUAAUGUUUACUAAAAAUUGAAAUUCAAGAAAGAAGACAUACAUAGUUGCACCAUACAAGAUGUUACACUCGAACUAAACCCUUACAAAUAGUACAAAAUGCAAUGAAAUACAGAGGAAUUGGUACAAUCAUAAAGACAGACACAUACCAAUGCAACUUUUCGCCAUAGGAAAAACUUUCUGACAGACUACUAAACAAGAAAUUAUGAAGACACAGCAGAAAGGCUUUAACUUCAUUUGCACCAACUAGAUCCUUCUUCAUCCAUUGAUGCGAUUGCUAUAUUUUGGCUUUCUUCUUCGCCUCUUCUCAUGUUGGUCUUCAACCAAAUUCACGAACCUUUUCGCCUUACCGGUUUGGAAAACAACACAUCCCAUGGCCAUUCCAAACACUACUUUCCAACCAAAAGCAAUUUUUCCUAUUUUAUUUGCAGCGCUGCAUUUUGGUGGUCCAGGAAUAUUUCCUAUUUUAGUCCCCCAUGUUAUUCGCAAUUUGUAAUUUGGUCCUUUCCUUUUAUUAUUUUAGAUUUUUCCCCUGAAUUACUGUUUUAAUGCCAAUUUAGUUCUUUGUUUGUUAUUAUUGCUAUAGAAUUAUUUAGUUUAUUAUUAUUAUUGGUAUUACUAUUAUUAGUUUAUAUAUUUACUUAUUUUUAUGUAUGUACAUUAUUUCAUUUUAUUAUAUACUCUUAUUUUAAUUCUUUUUCUUAUCUAAUGCAUUAGUAUAUAUUUUUAUGUUAAUUCAAUAUUAUCUAUACAUUUUUAAUGAGUUUAUUUUUAUAAUACAUUUUUCUUAAAAUGUUUAUUUAUAUAUACUUUUGUGCUUUAAAUUUUAUAUAACACUAUUAUAUAUAUAUAUAUAUAUAUAAUUUGUAUUAAGUUUUUUUAUUAUUAUUAUACAUAUAUAUACCAAAUAUAUCAUCGAUUUCAUAUUUACGUAUUUUUUUUUACUUAUUUCAUAUAUAAUCUAUUUCAUUUAAAACUUUACUUUAUUAUAUACUUGAUUUAUAUCAACCUUUUAUAUAUAUUAUUAUACAUAUAUUAAUAUUAUUAUAAGAAAUUUUCCAACCCAUAUGUAAUAUUUAUUUAAAUUAAUAUGUAUAUAUUAUUUCAUGUAUUUCAAUUUUCUUCAUAUACAAUAUUCACUUUAAAAUUCAUUUUAAUAUUAUUUUUCUCAUAGUAUUUAUUUUUUAUCUUCAUUUUUGGCUUAUUUCAAACUCAUAUAUGUAUAUUGUUUAUUUUAAAAUUUUACACAUAUAACUCAUUUUUUGUAUUGAUAAUUUUAAAUUUCCUUUUGUGUAUGUUUUUAUUAUUUAUUCUAAAACUUUUUACAUUUUAUUUGAGUAAUUUUAAAUAUUAAUGUUGAUAUUUACGUGUGAUGUAAGAUUAUUGCCCUCAUGUGUAUUGUAUUGCUUAUUUGUAUUAAUUGAUUAUUUGUAUUCAUUAGUAUACAUUUUGGCUUACGAAUUAUCAUUGAUCUUCCUUAUAAUACGUAAAGAACGUGAGUGUCAUGUGUGACCUAUAUUCAUUUAUUUUAUUGCAUAAAAUUCAAGGCAUGUAUGUUGAAUAAUUUUAUCCAAGAAGCAUAUUUUCUACAAAACUUUAAUCGGUUGUCAUUAAAUAUGUCAUUUUCUAUUAACUGCAAGAAAACUAUUCCCUAAACUGCAUCUUCUUCUUUAGAUGAAAUUUUGUAAAAAAAAAAUGACAUUAUCAUUUAUAUGGUCCUUCAAUUUUAUUUAAAAAAAUGUCAUUUUAACUCUCCAUUUAAUUUUUCGCCUCUUUGAGCUUUUAAAUUUGCGUUAUUUAUCAAAUAAUCCCAAAUAGAUGAAAAAGUUAACAUUUGUUAACUGUAUUGACGAGACAUACGUAUCGAUAUCAUAUAAAUAAUUAAUUGAUUUUAAAAAUUUUAAAAACAAAACAUAUAUUGAGGAAAUUUGGAAGCAUUGCAGAAGAAUGUCCAAUAAUUCCACACAAAUUAACAACAAUAUAAACUCAACAUUUUAGUUAUUGUCUAUUGUCCAAUUCACUUUUUUUUCAUUUUCCCAAAACUUAUUUCACUCUUAGCUUUAUUUUUAAAAAAAAGUUAUUUUAGCCCUUAAUUUAAUUUUUUAUCUUUUUUAGCCCUUAAAUCUACAUUGUUUAUCAAAUAACCCUUAAACUUAUAUUGUUUAUCAGGUGAAAAAAUUAAUAUCUAUUAACUUUGCUAACUUGCAUACAUAUGCAACUUCAUUUAAAUCUAAAAAAAUAUAAAAAUAAUUAAAUAUGUAUAAAUCUAAAAAUAUCUUAAAAUUAAAACUAAAUUUUUUUAAACUAAUGCAAAUUUUUAUUAUUUAAAAAAUCUUAAAAUUUUUAAAUUAAAUUCCUUUUGUUUUCCACUGUUGAAGAACUCCUUCAAUCACAUCAACAACUUCCUGCUGUUUUGCAAAUUUAUCUUGUUUUAUUUAUUUCUAAACCCAUAUUUCUUUUCUAUAACUCCAAUUAUUAGAUUGUUUAGGGUUUUGAGUAAUUUUCGAUUUUGGAAUUUUAGAUUUUUUAAAUUUAAAUACGAAGUGCUCUUCUUCUCCAAACCCAUAAUUUUUUCUGUCAAAUUUCAACUCAAGGUUUUACUUUCAACUAUAAAUAAAACAUAUAUUAUAUUUAUAAUGAUCUAAGAGUAGUAGAGUCAAUGCCGAUCUACAUGAAAAGGAGGGAAAAAAACAUAUAUUAUAUUUAUAAUGAUCUAAGAAUAGUAGAAUUAAAGUGAAUGGGUUUUUAAUAUUUUUUUGUGAAAGUUCAAAGACUGAUUAUUUAUGAGUUUGGAUGUGUAAAUAUUAGUUGGAAAAUUUUUUUCUUGCGCCAGUUGAUUUUUUCUAUAAAAUUUGUAUUUAUUUUAAAGAUUUUUAAAUUUUGUUACAAUUAUUUUUAUGAAAAUUUGGAAAUAUAAAAAUACUUUUUGAACUAUAAUUCAAGGAUCAAAUUAGGUAUUAAUCAUUUUACAGAUCAUAGACUAAAUUGCUUUAUUAUUAUUAUUAUUAUUAUUAUUAUUAUUAUUAUUAUUAUUAACACCACUUCCUUUUUAUUAAUUAAGGAAUUUUAAUCAAACAAGGAUAUGAAUCAGAAUUAAUAUAAACUUACCAUUUCAACAUUUCAUAAGCAAAAGCUAAAAUAAUAUUUGUCACAUCCCAUAUGUUCAUAUAUAACCUAUAAGACAAAAGUUAAAACAGCCUUCAGUUCAUCUACAUUCCACGUCAAAUCUGCAAGCAUAAAUUGACAUAAAUUGAGACAUUUUAUUCUCCUUUCUCCUUUACUGAGCAGUAGCAAAGAUUAUCGAGACUAAAUUGAAAUCCAUGAAAGAAGACAUAAACAGCACCACCAUACAAAAUGUUACACUCAAACAAACCAUUACAGAUUGUACGAAAUGCAAUGAAAGACACAGGAAUUGGUACAAUAAUAAAGACAGACACAUACCAAUGCAACCCUUCACCAUAGGCAAAACGGUCUACAGAACAAUAAAUUAUGAAAAUACAACACUCAUUCUUGAACAUCAUUUGCAGUAAUUAGAUCCUUCUUUGUCUAGUGCUUCGAUUGCCUUUCUUUGACUUUCUUCUUCGCCUCUUCUCCUGCUGGUUUUCAACCAAAUUCACCAACCAUUUCGGCUUACCAGUUUGGAAAACAACAUAUCCCACGGACAUUCCAAACACCACUCCGCAUCCAUAACCUAUCAACACCACUUUCCAACCAAAAGCAAUGUUCGAUUUUGAGCCAUCUUUUUCAAGCACAUUUGGAGGUGCUGGCUCAAUGAUGUUGCAACCUUUCGAAACCGGAAACCCACAUAGUCCCUUAUUCCCUUCAUAUGAAUCAUUUCCAAAUGUGUUGAAUUGUUUUCCUUGAGGAAUCUGACCAUGGAGUUGAUUUUCAGAAACAUUGAAGGACGAAAGAAAUGGCAGAUCUGCCAAUCUAUUUGGAAUCGUCCCAGACAACCUGUUUGAAGAUAGGUCCAACCAUUCAAGACUUGUCAAAUUCCCUAUUGAGGUUGGGAUACAACCAUUAAGGUUAUUAUGAGAAAGGUUGAGCCCUUUCAGUAAGUUGAGCUUCCCAAAAACCUCUGGAAUACCCCCUUCAAACUGAUUGUUUGAUAGAUCAAUGAUCAUCCACAUGGUGAAAAUUUUCACCAAUUCCGUCUCUUGUCCUCUCAUAACAAUUCCAAUGGAAUAGGUAUAGAAGCCACUUGUAUGAUCUUCCACACCCAUGUAUGGCCUUGCACUAGCAUUUUUCUUGAGAUUUAUGAUAGCAUUGAAGCUGUUGAUGUAUCUCACUGGUAGGGGUCCAGAAAAAUAAUUGCUUGAGAGGUCAAAAAUUUGGAUUUUAGAGAAAAAAGGGCUAGACUUGGAGCUAUUGACACGCAAGGAACCAUGCAUAUGAUUUGACUUCAAUACAAGAACUUGUAGCUGUGGAAGACUUCCCAACCAAUGAGGAAAUGUAUCAUUGAUCUU